RNAcentral lists this ribosomal RNA (305 nucleotides) under uncultured bacterium. Its description in RNAcentral is "bacterial SSU rRNA". It matches the Rfam family "Bacterial small subunit ribosomal RNA", at positions 337 to 656 of the family's 1533-position model. The record is from RNAcentral.
GCCUACGGGGGGCAGCAGUGGGGAAUAUUGGGCAAUGGGCGCAAGCCUGACCCAGCAACGCCGCGUGAAGGAAGAAGGCCCUCGGGUUGUAAACUUCUUUUAUCAGGGACGAAACAAAUGACGGUACCUGAUGAAUAAGCCACGGCUAACUACGUGCCAGCAGCCGCGGUAAUACGUAGGUGGCAAGCGUUAUCCGGAUUUACUGGGUGUAAAGGGCGUGUAGGCGGGUCUGCAAGUCAGAUGUGAAAUCUCAUGGCUCAACCAUGGAACUGCAUUUGAAACUGUAGAUCUUGAGUGAUGGAGAG